CACUCCUACAGGAGGCAGCAGUGGGGAAUAUUGCACAAUGGGCGCAAGCCUGAUGCAGCCAUGCCGCGUGUAUGAAGAAGGCCUUCGGGUUGUAAAGUACUUUCAGCGGGGAGGAAGGCGAUAAGGUUAAUAACCUUGUCGAUUGACGUUACCCGCAGAAGAAGCACCGGCUAACUCCGUGCCAGCAGCCGCGGUAAUACGGAGGGUGCAAGCGUUAAUCGGAAUUACUGGGCGUAAAGCGCACGCAGGCGGUCUGUCAAGUCGGAUGUGAAAUCCCCGGGCUCAACCUGGGAACUGCAUUCGAAACUGGCAGGCUAGAGUCUUGUAGAGGGGGGUAGAAUUCCAGGUGUAGCGGUGAAAUGCGUAGAGAUCUGGAGGAAUACCGGUGGCGAAGGCGGCCCCCUGGACAAAGACUGACGCUCAGGUGCGAAAGCGUGGGGAGCAAACAGGAUUAGAAACCCUUGUAGUCCCAUGA
Molecule: ribosomal RNA, 475 nt
Filed under: uncultured organism
Description: partial 16S ribosomal RNA
Rfam family: Bacterial small subunit ribosomal RNA
Source: RNAcentral